This is a long non-coding RNA of Myiozetetes cayanensis, 2049 nucleotides long. RefSeq lists it as uncharacterized. The transcript is spliced from 4 exons. Lineage: Eukaryota; Metazoa; Chordata; Aves; Passeriformes; Tyrannidae. The record is from RefSeq and is a predicted model, not a curated record.
UCUUCUACUACCAUCAGGCAAUUUAUUUUGGUGAGAUGAUACUGUAUUGGUAUGUUUGUCAGACUUGCUAAACAUUUUCAUACUGUAGGUGCAUUUAUUUAGAGGAAAUAAUUUACCUUGUUUUUCAAAUCACUAACAGGCAACCCAAUACUACGUUGUUAUGUUUCCAAAAUACGCAGACUAUAACGAAAAUCAGGCUACAUCAUCCUUUGUGUUUAAAGUAGCAGAAAGAAAUGGAGAAUAUUCUGUGAAUGACUGCACUACUUCCACUCUGAAAUUUUGAUAUGACCUUCAUUAAUAUUACUACUACACAUAAUUACAAGCACAUUACAAAAGCACAAGAAAAAAAGCUGCACAUUUAAGUAAUUCACUCUAUAACAAGGCUUGCUCCAAAUUAUGAUUUGGAGUGAAGAAGCAUCUGAUAAUUAUGAAGGACUUGGAUGUACACACAUGCUCCUAAACAUAUGCAAAAGGACUACCCAACUUCAGAUGUGAGUCAUCGAUAUUAAAGCACAGAAAGGACACCUUUGAACAGUGAAGGCAAGCCACAGGCCAGAUUUCUGCAGGGAUUUUUGAAGAGGAAAGGGCAGUAAGUAAGAAGAACAAAAGGACGUUAUUUUUAUAAUGAACAAUCAUUCUGAAAUGUGACGUAUGGCUGAAUACUUCUUCAAACAACAAAGAACCUUACUUUUAUUAGUCAUAAAAGACUUUUUGCAGUAAUGUGUACAGUCUGAUUGUUGGAAGACCCUUUCUUCAGCAAAUCAAAAAGCAUUGAAAACAUUAUUUGACUGACAGGACUGUUUUUAACUGACCUGUGAUGAUGAUGGUGAACUGGAAUGAAGAAUGACAAACAAUACUAAACUGUCAGUGGCCGUGUCUAUGAGACUGGUGAGAACAGCUCUUCUUAUCUGUUAAAAUUGGUGGAUCUGGCAAAACAAAAGCUGAAACAAAGGCUCUCCCAAAUCCCAUCCCAAUAACCUAUCAGUGCUCCCUGGAGCAGCAUUGGUGGUUUCUGACCCUGCACUCGAAUCACUCUGCUGGGAUGUUUUCUGCUCAGCGCUGGGGCCAGUUUUGCUUCCUGAACUUCAAGGGUGACAUCCUAGUUACACAGGAAAAAAAUGGCUUUGUUGUGAAUCCUACCAGGUAAAACUAACCACUGUGUCUUUUAUUUGGACUGUUAAAUUUAUUUCAAAUCCAGUGUUCAAAUGAGUAUAUCAUACCAUGAAGGCUAUCCGUAUUUUCUUUCAGCUCAGUAACGUUUUAAUAUAAUGGAAAAUGUAAUUGUUAAAGCAAAAGAUUCAGAGUGCUUCAAAGUAUCAGAGAAAAAGAGGGAAAACAGAUACUGCUACUGUUGUUAUAAUGUUGAUGUUAUAAUCAGAUAUUUAGAUAAGUGAUUGCCUUAGACUAGGAGCCUGAUUAACAGUAUUAUUUAUUAAAAGGUCAGAUUUGGAUAAAAUUGAAUUGCAAUUAGAACAUUUUGCUUGUAUGUCCAAAAUAAUAGAUAUAGUCUGCAGACAAUAUUUAAAUGUUCUAAGGAGAUAAACAUCUUAAUGGUCUCUCAACAGUACCGCUUUCUAUAAAACUUGACUUCAAAUAAUAACAGAAAAGUAAUGUACAAUCUAGUAAUGCAUGUUUAUAUCCCACUGACAUAUGUGGGUGUUGUGUAUAUGCUCUAGUCCAGAGCCUGGCAUUGUAAUAGCUUUGAACACACGACUGUGGAUUUAAUUAGAGAACUUCUUGGUUACUGCAAGGGGGCAAAAUCAGGUCCAAAAUACCUUGUGUUGUUAUUGAAAAGAAAAAGAAUCUGCUAGUAUUUGCUCUCACAACCUUUUAAGAUAUGUACUUACCACAUUAAAAUUUCACAACAAAUGCAUAAAACAAAUAAAGCUACACUCAUCAGUACACUAUUUUAGUUCCAGAAAAACACCUAGUAGAUUUUUCAAGGUUAAGAAAACAAUGAAAUAAGAGAGUGCCCAUUUGGUCUUUUCUCUUUUUUUAACUUCUGUGUCUGGCAUUCAUUAUCAUAAAAAAAAGUUAUCUUCAUUUGAA